GAUGAACGCUGGCGGCGUGCCUAAUACAUGCAAGUCGAGCGAACGGACGAGAAGCUUGCGUCUCUGAUGUUAGCGGCGGACGGGUGAGUAACACGUGGAUAACCUACCUAUAAGACUGGGAUAACUUCGGGAAACCGGAGCUAAUACCGGAUAAUAUUUUGAACCGCAUGGUUCAAAAGUGAAAGACGGUCUUGCGGUCACUUAUAGAUGGAUCCGCGCUGCAUUAGCUAGUUGGUAAGGUAACGGCUUACCAAGGCAACUAUGCAUAGCCGACCUGAGAGGGUGGUCGGCCACACUGGAGCUGAGACACGCUCCAGACUCCUACGGGAGGCAGCAGUAGGCAAUCUUCCGCAAUGGUCGAAAGCCUGACGGAGCAACGCCGCGUGAGUGAUGACGGUCUUCGGAUCGUAAAACUCUGUUAUUAGGGAAGAACAUAUGUGUAAGUAACUGUGCACAUCUUGACGGUACCUAAUCAGAAAGCCCCGGCUAACUACGUG
This 497-nucleotide ribosomal RNA is filed under the name uncultured bacterium. RNAcentral's name for it is "partial 16S ribosomal RNA". It matches the Rfam family "Bacterial small subunit ribosomal RNA", at positions 28 to 507 of the family's 1533-position model. The record is from RNAcentral.